RNAcentral lists this non-coding RNA (30 nucleotides) under Homo sapiens (human). The record is from RNAcentral. Lineage: Eukaryota; Metazoa; Chordata; Mammalia; Primates; Hominidae.
UGGCAAACCAGGUACUGUUCAGCUUGAUGC